GUGAACGCUGGCGGUAGGCCUAACACAUGCAAGUCGAACGGCAGCACAGUAAGAGCUUGCUCUUACGGGUGGCGAGUGGCGGACGGGUGAGGAAUACAUCGGAAUCUACUUUUUCGUGGGGGAUAACGUAGGGAAACUUACGCUAAUACCGCAUACGACCUACGGGUGAAAGCAUGGGAUCUUCGGACCUUGCGCGAUUGAAUGAGCCGAUGUCGGAUUAGCUGGUUGGCGGGGUAAAGGCCCACCAAGGCGACCAUCCGUAGCUGGGCUGAGAGGAUGAUCAGCAACACUGGAACUGAGACACGGUCCAGACUCCUACGGGAGGCAGCAGUGGGGAAUAUGGGACAAUGGGCGCAAGCCUGAUCCAGCCAUACCGCGUGGGUGAAGAAGGCCUUCGGGUUGUAAAGCCCUUUUGUUGGGAAAGAAAAGCAGCAGGUUAAUACCCCGCUGUUCUGACGGUACCAAAAGAAUAAGCACCGGCUAACUUCGUG
This 491-nucleotide ribosomal RNA is filed under the name uncultured bacterium. RNAcentral describes it as "partial 16S ribosomal RNA". It matches the Rfam family "Bacterial small subunit ribosomal RNA", at positions 29 to 507 of the family's 1533-position model. The record is from RNAcentral.